AUGAACGCUGGCGGCGUGCCUAAUCCAUGCCAGUCGCGCGAACAGACGAGGAGCUUGCUCCUCUGACGUUAGCGGCGGACGGGUGAGUAACACGUGGAUAACCUACCUAUAAGACUGGGAUAACUUCGGGAAACCGGAGCUAAUACCGGAUAAUAUAUUGAACCGCAUGGUUCAAUAGUGAAAGACGGUUUUGCUGUCACUUAUAGAUGGAUCCGCGCCGCAUUAGCUAGUUGGUAAGGUAACGGCUUACCAAGGCGACGAUGCGUAGCCGACCUGAGAGGGUGAUCGGCCACACUGGAACUGAGACACGGUCCAGACUCCUACGGGAGGCAGCAGUAGGGAAUCUUCCGCAAUGGGCGAAAGCCUGACGGAGCAACGCCGCGUGAGUGAUGAAGGUCUUCGGAUCGUAAAACUCUGUUAUUAGGGAAGAACAAAUGUGUAAGUAACUAUGCACGUCUUGACGGUACCUAAUCAGAAAGCCACGGCUAACUACGUG
This 496-nucleotide ribosomal RNA is filed under the name uncultured bacterium. Its description in RNAcentral is "partial 16S ribosomal RNA". It matches the Rfam family "Bacterial small subunit ribosomal RNA", at positions 29 to 507 of the family's 1533-position model. The record is from RNAcentral.